Long non-coding RNA from Quercus robur (English oak), 821 nucleotides. RefSeq lists it as uncharacterized. Lineage: Eukaryota; Viridiplantae; Streptophyta; Magnoliopsida; Fagales; Fagaceae. The record is from RefSeq and is a predicted model, not a curated record. The transcript has 3 exons.
CAAAACACUCUCUCUCUCUCUCUCUCUCAGUCAUGAAAAAAAAAUCAGACCUCACUCUCUCUCCCUUGCCGAUUAACCUACCUUCGAAUCGCUGUCCAUCACGCCGCCGCUGUCCUCCGAUCUAAGGCUUUACAGCGUCCAAUCCGGCGCUGCAGCUUUUCCCACCCAUCUCGCCAUCGCCGUCCUUCAUCUCCACUGGGAAUCAGGCCGGUAUAAUCGGUCCUACCCUCUGCCACCGCGGCCAUCCCCGGUCUCUUCCCCUCCCUCAGCCGCCCAAAACGCUCCUGAAGGUAGCUGACAUUAAAAGGAUGAAUGGCUUGGCAACAGAUCUUCAAAUGUUUGCUUUGAAGACAUUACAAAUACCAUUACCAGGAAGACAUCCACCAUCUCCCAGUUUGUCUAAUGGGUCUGCUUCUCAAGGGAAGCUAAUUGGAGCAAGGUAAUUUAACAAAGGUUAUGCCUUCUAUGCUGGCACUCUCAAAUCCUCCUUCUUUUUCACUGCAUGGGACUAUGAUGGCCAUGGCUCUCACACCUUAUCAACAGUUGGUGGUAACUUUGUUCCUGGAGCUAGGCUUUUAGGAUGGUACUAGCAGAGAUGGAGAGGACAACUCAAACAAUAACAUAGAGGUUGAAAACAACUUGGAGGGUGACUCGGAGGAAGACUAAUAUAUAUCUUGUCAUAAUUCUAGUUGUUUAGGUUUAAAUUAAUUUUAGGAUUUCUUUAUAUAUUUAUAAUUUUAAAGUUUGAACUUAUAUGAAUUUUUAUUUUUCGAUGGAUCAAUUUUUAGUAAUUAUUGGACUAUUGUAUCAAUUUUUAGUAA